Non-coding RNA from Pseudonaja textilis, 106 nucleotides. The record is from RefSeq and is a predicted model, not a curated record. Lineage: Eukaryota; Metazoa; Chordata; Lepidosauria; Squamata; Elapidae.
GGAGGCUGCAACGGCAAGGACUCGUUUCUGGUGGAGUUGGAGGGAGAGAAAGAAAGACUUCUGCGGCUUCUGCUGCUUUCCUUGCAUGAAGCCAAAAGUCUCUCUU